Non-coding RNA from Canis lupus familiaris (dog), 91 nucleotides. NCBI's taxonomy places the organism in Eukaryota, Metazoa, Chordata, Mammalia, Carnivora, Canidae. The record is from Rfam.
CGGGGGAGGCCGGAUCCUGGGCUGUGUCUGGGCGCCCUGUGCUCCGGGGCCUGCGCUGUUGGAUUCGCGCUCCCGGGCCGCGCAGCCCCCU